Long non-coding RNA from Eriocheir sinensis (Chinese mitten crab), 910 nucleotides. RefSeq lists it as uncharacterized. The record is from RefSeq and is a predicted model, not a curated record. Lineage: Eukaryota; Metazoa; Arthropoda; Malacostraca; Decapoda; Varunidae. The transcript is spliced from 3 exons.
GGAGGACGAGUAUUAAGGAUUAGUAGCAGGAGGAAUAGGACGAGGAAGAAGAGGUAGAGGAGGAGGAGGAGGAGGAAAAAGGAGAACAAGAAGAAAACGAAAUAAGAGAAGGAUAGAGAGGUGGGGCAGCGAGGGGAGAGGAUGAUUGGCCUUAAAACUAAUGUCCUUAUCGAGGGGGAAACAGGAGCGUGUGAUUGUAGGGCACAGAAUGACAGGCAACAGCGAGCCAUCAACCUUAUGACGAGGGGAGGAAAGCAAAACGUGAGGAGCCUGAAAAGUCCUGCAUAUGUAAAAUAAUAACUCAUUCGUAAUAUCAGGGAAGGAGAGGAAAGAAAAAUCCCUCGGUACUAGUAUGAAAGAGUGUUAGGGAAAGGUCGGUUUUAAAAUGAAGGAGUGAAAAUAUAAUAGUUCUGGUUCUAAAGAGAGAAAAAAAGGAUGAUAGGGAAAGGUCGCUAUUAAAAUGAAGGAGUGAAAAUAUAAUAGAGAAAAAUAGCGAUGAGAAAGAACGACAGAACAGGAAGGUCGCUAUUAAAAUGGAGUGAAAAUAUAAUAGAGAGAGAAAAAUAGCGAUGAGAAAGAACGACAGAACAGGAAGGUCGCUAUUAAAGUGGAGUGAAAAUAUAAUAGAGAGAGAAAAAUAGCGAUGAGAAAGAACGACAGAACAGGAAGGUUGAUAUUGACAGAAAAGAGGGAAAAAAAAAAAAUCAUUAGUACAAAAAGAACAAUAGAAAAAGAGGUUACUAUUUGAAUGAAAGAAUGACAUAGAAGAGAACUCACUCCUGGCACUAAAUAACGAAGAAAAACUUAUAGGGAUAAUAAAAUAACAUAGAAGAGUUACAAUUAGCGUGAAAGAAUGACCGAAAACUCACAUGCAGUACUGGCAGGAAAUAACAAAAAAUAAAUAAAUAAA